This is a non-coding RNA of Pocillopora verrucosa, 357 nucleotides long. The record is from RefSeq and is a predicted model, not a curated record. Lineage: Eukaryota; Metazoa; Cnidaria; Anthozoa; Scleractinia; Pocilloporidae.
AUUUAGAGUACAAUGUACAAAUAAGGGAACAACAUGGAUGAACCUCCUCACCAAUGUAUCUUAGGAUGGAACUUUUUCUAAUCAGGUGGUAUGAUGUGUACAGUGUACAAACAGGGCAACACAGUUGAUUGACAUGUAUCUGAAGAUGGUCCUUUCUUAUUUAGACGAACAAUUGUUCUCCGAAGACAUCAAGGAAUUGUCGGUGACGUCAACGUGGAUUUAAAGUUACAAGUUGAUAGUGUUGAUAUCCUGAGUACAGAUGAAAAAUUUUUUUGAUGUACUUUCUUGGGGGAGUUUUUGGUGAUGUCGACGUGGAUUGAAAGUUUCAAGCUCAUAUAGUUGGUGUUGUGAUUACAG